Molecule: ribosomal RNA, 468 nt
Filed under: uncultured bacterium
Lineage: Bacteria
Description: partial 16S ribosomal RNA
Rfam family: Bacterial small subunit ribosomal RNA
Source: RNAcentral
GACGAACGCUGGCGGCGUGCUUAACACAUGCAAGUCGAACGGAAAGGCCCUGCUUUUGUGGGGUGCUCGAGUGGCGAACGGGUGAGUAACACGUGAGUAACCUGCCCUUGACUUUGGGAUAACUUCAGGAAACUGGGGCUAAUACCGGAUAGGAGCUCCUGCUGCAUGGUGGGGGUUGGAAAGUUUCGGCGGUUGGGGAUGGACUCGCGGCUUAUCAGCUUGUUGGUGGGGUAGUGGCUUACCAAGGCUUUGACGGGUAGCCGGCCUGAGAGGGUGACCGGCCACAUGGGGACUGAGAUACGGCCCAGACGCCUACGGGAGGCAGCAGUGGGGAAUAUUGCACAAUGGGCGGAAGCCUGAUGCAGCAACGCCGCGGGCGGGAUGACGGCCUUCGGGUUGUAAACCGCUUUCGCCUGUGACGAAGCGUGAGUGACGGUAAUGGGUAAAGAAGCACCGGCUAACUACGUG